GUAUGUCUCGGGCGUUACAUCGUUUCUUGUUGGGUCAUGUGGCAAUCAUUUGAGUUGGCAUGAUUCAUCGCCGGAGCGGGCAUGCGGCGUGCCUGUAAAUGAAGUAACGUAGAAGCGUGAUGUCGUGGAGACAACGUGGAACGUAUGAACAUGGUGGCGGAUCAAGCAAGAACCAAUGUCGGUAACUUGAUUACGUGAAGGCGUGAGACAGCGUGAUGUCGUGGAGACAACGCAACAUGAAAGUUCUCGAGCGACAACAUGAGGAACGCGGGUACCGAUUUAGGUGGCGUGCAUGGUCUCAUCGUUGGCACCGCCGGGGUUUAUCC
RNAcentral lists this long non-coding RNA (326 nucleotides) under Brassica napus (rape). RNAcentral describes it as "long non-coding RNA (BNAP_LNC020683)". The record is from RNAcentral. Lineage: Eukaryota; Viridiplantae; Streptophyta; Magnoliopsida; Brassicales; Brassicaceae.